ACGGCUCAGUAACACGUGGACAACCUGCCCUCGGGUGGGGGAUAACCCCGGGAAACUGGGGCUAAUCCCCCAUAGGGGAUGGGUACUGGAAUGUCCCAUCUCCGAAAGCGCUUAGCGCCCGAGGAUGGGUCUGCGGCGGAUUAGGUUGUUGGUGGGGUAACGGCCCACCAAGCCGAAGAUCCGUACGGGCCAUGAGAGUGGGAGCCCGGAGAUGGACCCUGAGACACGGGUCCAGGCCCUACGGGGCGCAGCAGGCGCGAAACCUCCGCAAUGCGGGAAACCGCGACGGGGUCAGCCGGAGUGCUCGCGCAUCGCGCGGGCUGUCGGGGUGCCUAAAAAGCACCCCAUAGCAAGGGCCGGGCAAGGCCGGUGGCAGCCGCCGCGGUAAUACCGGCGGCCCGAGUGGCGGCCACUUUUAUUGGGCCUAAAGCGUCCGUAGUCGGGCUGGUAAGUCCUCCGGGAAAUCUGGUCGCUUAACGAUCAGACUGCCGGAGGAUACUGCCAGCCUAGGGACCGGGAGAGGCCGGGGGUAUUCCCGGGGUAGGGGUGAAAUCCUGUAAUCCCGGGAGGACCACCUGUGGCGAAGGCGCCCGGCUGGAACGGGUCCGACGGUGAGGGACGAAGGCCAGGGGAGCGAACCGGAUUAGAUACCCGGGUAGUCCUGGCUGUAAACGAUGCGGACUAGGUGUCACCGAAGCUACGAGCUUCGGUGGUGCCGGAGGGAAGCCGUUAAGUCCGCCGCCUGGGGAGUACGGCCGCAAGGCUGAAACUUAAAGGAAUUGGCGGGGGAG
Molecule: ribosomal RNA, 791 nt
Filed under: uncultured Archaeoglobus sp.
Lineage: Archaea; Methanobacteriati; Methanobacteriota; Archaeoglobi; Archaeoglobales; Archaeoglobaceae
Description: bacterial SSU rRNA
Rfam family: Archaeal small subunit ribosomal RNA
Source: RNAcentral